Molecule: ribosomal RNA, 909 nt
Filed under: uncultured bacterium
Lineage: Bacteria
Description: bacterial SSU rRNA
Rfam family: Bacterial small subunit ribosomal RNA
Source: RNAcentral
ACGCUGGCGGCAUGCUUUACACAUGCAAGUCGGACGGCAGCACAGAGAAGCUUGCUUCUUGGGUGGCGAGUGGCGAACGGGUGAGUAAUAUAUCGGAACGUACCGAGUAAUGGGGGAUAACUAAUCGAAAGAUUAGCUAAUACCGCAUAUUCUCUGAGGAGGAAAGCAGGGGACCUUCGGGCCUUGCGUUAUUCGAGCGGCCGAUAUCUGAUUAGCUAGUUGGUGGGGUAAAGGCCUACCAAGGCGACGAUCAGUAGCGGGUCUGAGAGGAUGAUCCGCCACACUGGGACUGAGACACGGCCCAGACUCCUACGGGAGGCAGCAGUGGGGAAUUUUGGACAAUGGGCGCAAGCCUGAUCCAGCCAUGCCGCGUGUCUGAAGAAGGCCUUCGGGUUGUAAAGGACUUUUGUCAGGGAAGAAAAGGCUGUUGCUAAUAUCGACAGCUGAUGACGGUACCUGAAGAAUAAGCACCGGCUAACUACGUGCCAGCAGCCGCGGUAAUACGUAGGGUGCGAGCGUUAAUCGGAAUUACUGGGCGUAAAGCGAGCGCAGACGGUUACUUAAGCAGGAUGUGAAAUCCCCGGGCUCAACCUGGGAACUGCGUUCUGAACUGGGUGACUAGAGUGUGUCAGAGGGAGGUAGAAUUCCACGUGUAGCAGUGAAAUGCGUAGAGAUGUGGAGGAAUACCGAUGGCGAAGGCAGCCUCCUGGGAUAACACUGACGUUCAUGCUCGAAAGCGUGGGUAGCAAACAGGAUUAGAUACCCUGGUAGUCCACGCCCUAAACGAUGUCAAUUAGCUGUUGGGCAACUUGAUUGCUUAGUAGCGUAGCUAACGCGUGAAAUUGACCGCCUGGGGAGUACGGUCGCAAGAUUAAAACUCAAAGGAAUUGACGGGGACCCGCACAAGCG